RNAcentral lists this ribosomal RNA (459 nucleotides) under uncultured bacterium. RNAcentral describes it as "partial 16S ribosomal RNA". It matches the Rfam family "Bacterial small subunit ribosomal RNA", at positions 338 to 795 of the family's 1533-position model. The record is from RNAcentral.
CCUACGGGAGGCAGCAGUGAGGAAUAUUGGUCAAUGGCCGCAGGGCUGAACCAGCCAAGUCGCGUGAGGGAUGACGGUCCUAUGGAUUGUAAACCUCUUUUGUCAGGGAGCAAAGGGCGCCACGUGUGGCGCUUUGCGAGUACCUGAAGAAAAAGCAUCGGCUAACUCCGUGCCAGCAGCCGCGGUAAUACGGAGGAUGCGAGCGUUAUCCGGAUUUAUUGGGUUUAAAGGGUGCGCAGGCGGAAUGUCAAGUCAGCGGUAAAAUUUCGGGGCUCAACCCCGUCGUGCCGUUGAAACUGGCGUUCUUGAGUGAGCGAGAAGUACGCGGAAUGCGUGGUGUAGCGGUGAAAUGCAUAGAUAUCACGCAGAACUCCGAUUGCGAAGGCAGCAUACCGGCGCUCAACUGACGCUCAUGCACGAAAGCGUGGGUAUCGAACAGGAUUAGAUACCCCAGUAGUC